Vicia faba (fava bean) is the source of this 309-nucleotide non-coding RNA. The record is from the annotation of a GenBank genome assembly. NCBI's taxonomy places the organism in Eukaryota, Viridiplantae, Streptophyta, Magnoliopsida, Fabales, Fabaceae.
AAUCACCAAGCUAUUAAUAUUGUUUUAACGCUGCAACUCAGAACAAAUAUGAUAUUUCUUUUUAGUUUUAUUUAUGUUCUUGGAGCUCUUAACUAUCCAAGUAUGAAAUCAAUGUUGGCACAGUUUUACUAUGGAGUUCGCUACAAUUCCAAUUGUUGGCACAGUUUUACUAUGGAGUUCGCUACAAUUCCAUAUGGAGUUCGCUACAAUUCCAAUGUUGACACAGUUUUACUAUUAAGUUCGCUACAAUUCCAAUGUUGGCACAGUUUUACUAUUAAGUUAGCUACAAUUCAACAGUUUUACUAUUAA